Molecule: non-coding RNA, 3174 nt
Organism: Taeniopygia guttata (zebra finch)
Lineage: Eukaryota; Metazoa; Chordata; Aves; Passeriformes; Estrildidae
Source: RefSeq, a predicted model, not a curated record
UUCAUAUUUUUUCUCCUGUUUGUUUGUCUGUUAACAUGCAGGGUGAGGUUGUCCCAAGGUUAGGGAGUUGGAAUUUCCCUUCCUGUGUUGUCUUACUGCUCCUCUCCUUUCUUUCUUGCUUUUUUUGCUGCAGGUCACAGCAUAUUUAUGGCGAGGUUGGUGGGGGAAGUCUCAGCUCAUCUCUCCCACUCCAUCUGCCCUGGAUAGUGCCAGUCCUUUGACAGGAGAACACCUGGCUGGGCAUUGUCCUUCCACCUCAUCAUCAAUAUGUCUGCAUCACAGCUUCCCUCCUGAGCUUUAAGAGCAAAAUUACCAAAAGCAGUCUCGAGUUUUUGAUGUCUUCAUUUUUGAGGAACUGAACAUGGGACGCAGCAGCUGAGUUUCAGCAGAGCUGAACACCAGUAGCUUCUGUUACUGGCUGAGCACUCAUCGCUGCUUGAAAUCAGGCUUGGAGUGUCUUUAAUGGUAUUUAUUGUUUAGAGGAGAAUUGUGCAUCAAACCUGAACAAGACCUGGGAGAAAUCAAAGAAAAGGGAACUUACGCUCCCCUAGCAGGAAACUGAAACAAUGUGCAAUUUAAAAUCUGCCACUUAAAUGUAUGCUGGCUCCUCAUGAUGAAACCACCUACCCAAAGGCAUUUAGAUUUUUUUUUUAAAAAGCACAAAAAUGCAUAUUUCCUAUUGAAAUGUUCAGGAAACACAUGCCCAGGAAUAGAGCUGAAAAUGAAGCUGGUUAUCUUUCUUCAUCCUUUGAUCUCUAACAUCUUUCAAAAUCUGUCCUCCAAGUAAUGUGCCCGAGGAUGCACGAAAUCAAGGCUGAAUCUUUAUCUCCUCCACUUGAUCGUCUCUGCACUGCAAUUCAGAACACAGAUACAUUGCUCCUCAGGACUAGCCCUGGCUGAGGCAGUCAACCAGACUAAUCCCAGAAAUACAGGUCGAGGAUGGGAAUUCAUAAAUGCACAGGCGCCCUCGCCUCACCCUCCCAUCCAGGUCACAGCUGCAUUUGUCCCCUGAUUCUCCCCAGAUGUGUGGGGGAAUUUAAAGAACUUAAAGAUCUAUCCCAGUCCUUCACCUACAUGGAGGAGCACAGAGCCAGUCAUUCCUGAACUGACAGCCACAGAGAACCUGGGGCCUUUUAAUGCUGGAAAUAAUCAUGGGGAGGAAGGAGAGUGCCUACAGACAGCAACUGCCUCUGUAGUGAAGGGAAGUCUGAAGUUUCCUCUCUGCUUUUUCGUGCAUAACAGCAUCUGUAUGCCUCAUUUCCAUCUUCACAGCUCCUGUAAUUUACAUAAUGAACAUUUGCAAAGCCUGAGAUCUGGGUUCACUUUGUACCACAUUUACUGUAGAUGACCUUCAGUGAAUUAUCAGAAAAGUUUCCCAGGCAAUUUUCCCAAAGGGUGUGAAUGUGAAACCUAAGAUCAUCAGGGAAGGAGAAAAGGGGAAUGAAAGCAGAUUUCUGAGAUAUCUGUCAUUCAAAGAUACGUUUUUGCUUCUACUGCAGAACAAAAAUAUUUGAAUUUAAAAAGAAGGGAGGUUUGUCUUUAAAGCAGAUGUUGGUAUCAGGUCCCUCAAUAAAGUUGCUUUAAUUAGGUUUGCCUUCCUAGAUCUUCAGAAAGACAAUUUCCUUGAUAAAAAUGCAUUUGAAAAAAUAUUAAGCAAAAGGGAAAAAACGCUCAGAGAGACAAUUUUAUUUGCAUUCCUUCAUAAGCAAUGGCUGUAAAAUGAGUUUAUCCACUUUGGCCCCCUGAUCAAGUAAUGAAUCUGAAAAAACAAGUCUGGUGACAAAUAACUGGCAAUCCAGCAGAGAUUCAGGACUGAGGAGGAAUUCUGACCUCAAAGGAUAGGAAUAGGACAUCGGGGUGAGAACAAGCAGCUGAAGCCACUUAUGGCUCCUCUGGAGGUGUCAGCUGCAGCUCUGAUUGCACCUCCUGAUAGUGCUCCAGCAAUUGCAAAGUGAUAAAGCAGGAACUGACCCAUUUUUGCUUCUGACACCCAUCCUCAGUGAACUGUCCUUUUCAGCCCCAAGUUCCUGCAGAGUUCAUCUGACAGAGUCCUGGGAAGCUGCAUCUCCAAUAUUAUAUUGAACUUUAUGUUGUAUUUACAUGGGGCAACAGGGAACACACUUUUAUAGGUGUUGGCUGGCUUCUAGGUAAGCACAAAUCAGGGAUCAUCACUCAUCUGAGAAGUGCUUGUGAGUCCACUUUUUGUUUGCUGUUUGGGCAGCAACACAGGUUAUUGCUCACUGCAGCAAUGGAGGAUGCUUUGAAGGAAGAAAUUAAUUUUGUAACUGACUCAGGACUCUUGUUUGUACAGAAAAUAAGCUGAAAGCUGAAAUGCAGAGCCUUAUUCUGGUGAUGAAGAAGGGCUCUCAUAUCAUCUGUCAUAAGACUCUUCAGACAGAAUGAAUCACAAACCCACCAUGACAGGCAUGCUGGAAAUGCUCACGUAGAUAAACCUGACACUGUUCCCGUUGCUGUAGGCCAGGCAUAUGUGAAGUGCUGCUUUACAUAAUAAUCUCAAGAAGCCAAGCAAGCUUUUUAGAUUCCUUUGUGCUUUGACAACAGUGCCCUGUGUGCCGUCCUCUUGGGGCAGGAUCCUGUGGUAGAUUUUGAAAGCAGCAAUGUGAAAUUGUCCCUGGGGCCAGCAGCUGUGCCCAGCAGAAGCUCUGUGCACCAGGGAGGUGCUGAACAGUUCACAUGCAUGAACACCGAGUGAGAGCUGAACAUGAGCACCAUAACUUCUGUCCUGAAACUUCUGAAAGAACCACUUCAUGGCUUUGGAUCACAGCUCAUCAAGGGCCUGUGAAUGAGGGACUGUUCACCUGGUCAUGCUCUUCCUCUGCUCUUGCUGUUUAUUCUGGGAAGCAGAAGCCUCCCAAAUCGAUCUGGAAAGUGUAUCAACAAGAUGAUUGUUUUUGGAUUGACUCCUCCCUGGCUCAUGGAGCCCUACAGGGUUAUCUGUGUGUGUAUGCUUUAAGGCAAAUAACUAAACUAGUGGUACUGCUAUGUUGAUCACCAGUGUUGGACAUUUUUAACAAUAUAUGAUCAAUAAAUGAUGAAUCACCAAUGAAUUUAUGCUAAGGUGGGGCAGAAGAUGUUCCCUGCUCAGGAACAUGUCAUCUUCUGCAAAGAGUCAUUGUCAGCAGCCUCAAAAGGAAUAAAACCACUGUCUUCAAA